AUGGAGGUAAUUCAGUCCUGGAAAGAGUGUUCCCAAAUCUUCAAAGCAGUCCUUCUCUUCUCCUCUUCUUCUUCCUCUUUUUUCUUUCUCCUCCUCUUCUUUUCCUCCUCUCCCUUCUCUUCCUCCUCCUCCUCCCUUCUCUUCCUCCUCCUCCUCCCUUCUCUUCCUCUUCCUCCUCCCUUCUCUUCCUCUUCCUCCUCCCUUCUCUUCCUCUUCCUCCUCCCUUCCUCUUCCUCCUCCUCCUCCCUUCUCUUCCUCCUCCUCCUCCCUUCUCUUCCUCUUCCUCCUCCCUUCUCUUCCUCCUCCUCCUCCCUUCUCUUCCUCUUCCUCCUCCCUUCUCUUCCUCCUCCUCCUCCCUUCUCUUCCUCUCCUCCCUUCUCCUCCUCCUCCUCCUCUCUCCUCUCCCCUCCUUCUCUUCCUCCUCCUCCUCCCUUCUCUUCCUCCUCCUCCUCCUCCUUCUCUUCUCCUCCUCCUCCUCCUUCUCUUCCUCCUCCUCCUCCUCCCUUCUCUUCCUCCUCCUCCUCCUCCCUUCUCUUCCUCCUCCUCCUCCUCCCUUCUCUUCCUCCUCCUCCUCCUCCCUUCUCUUCCUCCUCCUCCUCCUCCCUUCUCUUCCUCCUCCUCCUCCUCCUCCCUUCUCUUCCUCCUCCUCCUCCUCCUUCUCUUCCUCCUCCUCCUCCUCCCCUUCUCUUCCUCCUCCUCCUCCUCCCUUCUCUUCCUCCUCCUCCUCCUCCCUUCUCUUCCUCCUCCUCCUCCUCCCUUCUCUUCCUCCUCCUCCUCCUCCCUUCUCUUCCCUCCUCUCCUCCUUCUCUUCCUCCUCCUGCUCCUCCCUUCUCUUCCUCCUCCUCCUCCUCCCUUCUCUUCCUCCUCCUCCUCCUCCUUCUCUUCUCCUCCUCCUCCUCCCUCUCUUCCUCCUCCUCCUCCCUUCCUCCUCCUCCUCUUCUCUCCCUCCUCCUCCUCCCUUCUCUUCCUCCUCCUCCCUUCUCUUCCUCCUCCUCCUCCUUCUCCUUCCUCCUCCUCCUCCCUUCUCUUCCUCCUCCUCCUCCCUUCUCUUCCUCCUCCUCCUCCCUUCUCUUCCUCCUCCUCCUCCCUUCUCUUCCUCCUCCUCCUCCCUUCUCUUCCUCCUCCUCCUCCCUUCUCUUCCUCCUCCUCCUCCCUUCUCUUCCUCCUCCUCCUCCCUUCUCUUCCUCCUCCUCCUCCCUUCUCUUCCUCCUCCUCCUCCCUUCUCUUCCUCCUCCUCCUCCCUUCUCUUCCUCCUCCUCCUCCCUUCUCUUCCUCCUCCUCCUCCUCCCUUCUCUUCCUCCUCCUCCUCCUCCCUUCUCUUCCUCCUCCUCCUCCUCCCUUCUCUUCCUCCUCCUCCUCCUCCCUUCUCUUCCUCCUCCUCCUCCUCCCUUCUCUCCUCCUCCUCCUCCUCCUUCUCUUCCUCCUCCUCCUCCUUCUCUUCCUCCUCCUCCUCCCUUCUCUUCCUCCUCCUCCUCCUCCCUUCUCUUCCUCCUCCUCCUCCUCCCUUCUCUUCCUCCUCCUCCUCCUCCCUUCUCUUCCUCCUCCUCCUCCUCCCUUCUCUUCCUCCUCCUCCUCCCUUCUCUUCCUCCUCCUCCUCCCUUCUCUUCCUCCUCCUCCUCCCUUCUCUUCCUCCUCCUCCUCCCUUCUCUUCCUCCUCCUCCUCCCUUCUCUUCCUCCUCCUCCUCUCUCUCUUCCUCCUCCUCCUCCCUUCUCUUCCUCCUCCUCCUCCCUUCUCUUCCUCCUCCUCCUCCCUUCUCUUCCUCCUUCUCUGCUUCUUCUUUCCCCCCACCUUCCCACAUUCUAACAGGUAGUAAGAACAGGUAUUGCCCAUUUUACAGAUGA
This 1842-nucleotide long non-coding RNA is filed under the name Ornithorhynchus anatinus (platypus). RNAcentral's name for it is "lncRNA (ENSOANG00000044217.1)". Lineage: Eukaryota; Metazoa; Chordata; Mammalia; Monotremata; Ornithorhynchidae. The record is from RNAcentral.